GGCCUCGUAGCUCAGUUGGCAGAGCAAAUUGGACUAGUAUCCCAAAGGUCGCGGGUUCGAUUCCCACCGUGGUCA
Molecule: transfer RNA, 75 nt
Filed under: Paramuricea clavata
Lineage: Eukaryota; Metazoa; Cnidaria; Anthozoa; Malacalcyonacea; Plexauridae
Rfam family: tRNA
About the family: Transfer RNA (tRNA) molecules are approximately 80 nucleotides in length.
Source: Rfam by way of RNAcentral